UACAAUGCUUUAAUUUUUUUUUUAACCUGUUCUUGCUCUCUGUUUUCUGAGUUUUAUAUUCUUGCUCUUUGUUUUUUGAAGUUUAUAUUCUUGCAACAAUUAUGCUCUUUGCCAGAUUAUCGAGAUGUAAGUAGAAAAAGACAGAAUUUUGAGAACUGGAGCCUUUCUUUAAUUUCAGGGUUGCUUACUUUCAAUUUCUUAAAGUAUAGGAAAGUUUACAUACUAGGAGUUGAUGGUGUGAUCCCAGAUGAACUAUGGAGUUUGAAAUUCCUCACCUACCUGAGGGCGACUGUUAACAGCUUGUCAGGUUCACUUUCUCCAUUUAUCGAGAAUCUAACAACAUUAAAAAUCCUGACUUUGUAAGUAAUAGAUUAUCUGGGCAGCUUCCAAAAGAGCUUGGGAUGCUUUCUGAAUUAGAAGUCUUAGGAAUUGGAAGAAACAACUUCUCUAGCCCUCUGCCAUUUGAGCUCAGUAAUUUGACAAAAUUAACAAAAUUGAUGUAGAGGAAUUGGAACAAACAACUUCAAUGGUCCUCUGCCACCUGAGCUCGGUAAUUUGACGAAAUUAUUGACAUUGAGGGCUUUUGACAUUGAACUUACAGGAAGGAUCCCUGACUUCAUAGGAAACUGGUCAAAUAUGAAAGACUUAGAUCUGAGUUUCAACAAUACAAGUGGAUAGAUUCCUAUCUCGUUUUUCAAUUUGAGUUCACUAACUUGCCUGUUUCUUGGAAAUAAUAAGUUAAAUGGUACCCUCCCUAAACUAAAAGGUUCAAAACUUCUCAAUAUUUUACAUUCUCCUCACUUGAUGUUGGAAGAGAUGCAUCUUACAAUAAUUUAUCUGGUAGCCUGCCUUCUUGGAUUCAAGAACAAAAUUUACAAUU
Molecule: long non-coding RNA, 880 nt
Organism: Pistacia vera
Lineage: Eukaryota; Viridiplantae; Streptophyta; Magnoliopsida; Sapindales; Anacardiaceae
Exons: 9
Source: RefSeq, a predicted model, not a curated record